UCUAAGAUAAUUUGAAUGCACAUAAGUGGCUUUAUAGAAAUAGUUAUCAGCUAUAUGUACAGUCUACCAAUUCGUAAUAUGGGAGGAGCCGUACCAAACUACUGGGGUUUUAUCGAUGGAACUAUUAGAGAAAUUUGUUGACGAAGUAUCAUCACUAUGUAAAAUAUCAGUCUACUUUAUGUACCUGUUUGAAUGGAAGUCAAUCAAGUAUUUCUUUUUAUGUGAAACCACCAGUAUUGGAAGAUUAUUCUGUUUAACAGAAUUAUGUUAUGUAUUUUUGUAAUUUUUCCUACAAUAAUUUUGAAAAAAGUGUACUCAACGUAUAAUUUUAUAAUAACAUUACUGAUAAUUAAUUUGGUUCUGCAUUGUGAUUUGCUUUUUUUUAUGCUAUGUUGAUCCAAUAUA
Long non-coding RNA from Harmonia axyridis, 405 nucleotides. RefSeq lists it as uncharacterized. The record is from RefSeq and is a predicted model, not a curated record. The transcript is spliced from 2 exons. Lineage: Eukaryota; Metazoa; Arthropoda; Insecta; Coleoptera; Coccinellidae.